Molecule: ribosomal RNA, 468 nt
Filed under: uncultured bacterium
Lineage: Bacteria
Description: partial 16S ribosomal RNA
Rfam family: Bacterial small subunit ribosomal RNA
Source: RNAcentral
GACGAACGCUGGCGGCGUGCUUAACACAUGCAAGUCGAACGGAAAGGCCCUGCUUUUGUGGGGUGCUCGAGUGGCGAACGGGUGAGUAACACGUGAGUAACCUGCCCUUGACUUUGGGAUAACUUCUGGAAACUGGGGCUAAUACCGGAUAGGAGCUCCUGCUGCAUGGUGGGGGUUGGAGAGUUUCGGCGGUUGGGGAUGGACUCGCGGCUUAUCAGCUUGUUGGUGGGGUAGUGGCUUACCAAGGCUUUGACGGGUAGCCGGCCUGAGAGGGUGACCGGCCACAUUGGGACUGAGAUACGGCCCAGACUCCUACGGGAGGCAGCAGUGGGGAAUAUUGCACAAUGGGCGGAAGCCUGAUGCAGCAACGCCGCGCGCGGGAUGACGGCCUUCGGGUUGUAAACCGCUUUCGCCUGUGACGAAGCGUGAGUGACGGUAAUGGGUAAAGAAGCACCGGCUAACUACGUG